GGAAACACAAGCAAAAGAAUUACCAGCAACAGAAGUAUCAGUCUGAGCAACAGUGGCUACUUUUGGAGAUGUCUGCUUACUUGCUCGAUAUUUAAGGAACUCGUUAUACUCCCUUUAAGAUACAGAAAAUCCCUGGUUACCUGUAGUCUCGGUCUGAGCAACAUAAGCAUUUUUGGGUGGUCGACCAUGUAAAGAAUGGCACACGUCACGAGUGUGACCAAGUUUAUAACAAUAAGAACACUUGGGUCUAGAUCUUCCAAAAUGACCUCCUCCUCAUCUAUACUCCAUAGUAUGAGAAGCCUGUUGUCCACGGAUUGGGAUACGAGGAUAGAUGAAUCAAGUGUCUGCGAUGAGCUCACUGGGUGACUUGGUGCUGCAGCAAGGCGAAGUAAGCGAGAGAAUAAUUCAUCAACUGUGGGGACAGUCGGACUAGCCAAAAUCUGANNNNNNNN
RNAcentral lists this long non-coding RNA (452 nucleotides) under Nicotiana benthamiana. RNAcentral describes it as "long non-coding RNA (NBEN_LNC006929)". The record is from RNAcentral. Lineage: Eukaryota; Viridiplantae; Streptophyta; Magnoliopsida; Solanales; Solanaceae.